RNAcentral lists this ribosomal RNA (649 nucleotides) under Salmonella enterica. Its description in RNAcentral is "partial 23S ribosomal RNA". It matches the Rfam family "Bacterial large subunit ribosomal RNA", at positions 2259 to 2902 of the family's 2925-position model. The record is from RNAcentral. Lineage: Bacteria; Pseudomonadati; Pseudomonadota; Gammaproteobacteria; Enterobacterales; Enterobacteriaceae. RNAcentral also lists the same sequence under 2 other names.
UGGUGGGUAGUUUGACUGGGGCGGUCUCCUCCUAAAGAGUAACGGAGGAGCACGAAGGUUGGCUAAUCCUGGUCGGACAUCAGGAGGUUAGUGCAAUGGCAUAAGCCAGCUUGACUGCGAGCGUGACGGCGCGAGCAGGUGCGAAAGCAGGUCAUAGUGAUCCGGUGGUUCUGAAUGGAAGGGCCAUCGCUCAACGGAUAAAAGGUACUCCGGGGAUAACAGGCUGAUACCGCCCAAGAGUUCAUAUCGACGGCGGUGUUUGGCACCUCGAUGUCGGCUCAUCACAUCCUGGGGCUGAAGUAGGUCCCAAGGGUAUGGCUGUUCGCCAUUUAAAGUGGUACGCGAGCUGGGUUUAGAACGUCGUGAGACAGUUCGGUCCCUAUCUGCCGUGGGCGCUGGAGAACUGAGGGGGGCUGCUCCUAGUACGAGAGGACCGGAGUGGACGCAUCACUGGUGUUCGGGUUGUCAUGCCAAUGGCACUGCCCGGUAGCUAAAUGCGGAAGAGAUAAGUGCUGAAAGCAUCUAAGCACGAAACUUGCCCCGAGAUGAGUUCUCCCUGAGACUUAGAGUCUCCUGAAGGAACGUUGAAGACGACGACGUUGAUAGGCCGGGUGUGUAAGCGCAGCGAUGCGUUGAGCUAACCGGUACU